UCGAACGAACUCUGGUAUUGAUUGGUGCUUGCAUCAUGAUUUACAUUUGAGUGAGUGGCGAACUGGUGAGUAACACGUGGGAAACCUGCCCAGAAGCGGGGGAUAACACCUGGAAACAGAUGCUAAUACCGCAUAACAACUUGGACCGCAUGGUCCGAGCUUGAAAGAUGGCUUCGGCUAUCACUUUUGGAUGGUCCCGCGGCGUAUUAGCUAGAUGGUGGGGUAACGGCUCACCAUGGCAAUGAUACGUAGCCGACCUGAGAGGGUAAUCGGCCACAUUGGGACUGAGACACGGCCCAAACUCCUACGGGAGGCAGCAGUAGGGAAUCUUCCACAAUGGACGAAAGUCUGAUGGAGCAACGCCGCGUGAGUGAAGAAGGGUUUCGGCUCGUAAAACUCUGUUGUUAAAGAAGAACAUAUCUGAGAGUAACUGUUCAGGUAUUGACGGUAUUUAACCAGAAAGCCACGGCUAACUACGUGCCAGCAGCCGCGGUAAUACGUAGGUGGCAAGCGUUGUCCGGAUUUAUUGGGCGUAAAGCGAGCGCAGGCGGUUUUUUAAGUCUGAUGUGAAAGCCUUCGGCUCAACCGAAGAAGUGCAUCGGAAACUGGGAAACUUGAGUGCAGAAGAGGACAGUGGAACUCCAUGUGUAGCGGUGAAAUGCGUAGAUAUAUGGAAGAACACCAGUGGCGAAGGCGGCUGUCUGGUCUGUAACUGACGCUGAGGCUCGAAAGUAUGGGUAGCAAACAGGAUUAGAUACCCUGGUAGUCCAUACCGUAAACGAUGAAUGCUAAGUGUUGGAGGGUUUCCGCCCUUCAGUGCUGCAGCUAACGCAUUAAGCAUUCCGCCUGGGGAGUACGGCCGCAAGGCUGAAACUCAAAGGAAUUGACGGGGGCCCGCACAAGCGGUGGAGCAUGUGGUUUAAUUCGAAGCUACGCGAAGAACCUUACCAGGUCUUGACAUACUAUGCAAAUCUAAGAGAUUAGACGUUCCCUUCGGGGACAUGGAUACAGGUGGUGCAUGGUUGUCGUCAGCUCGUGUCGUGAGAUGUUGGGUUAAGUCCCGCAACGAGCGCAACCCUUAUUAUCAGUUGCCAGCAUUAAGUUGGGCACUCUGGUGAGACUGCCGGUGACAAACCGGAGGAAGGUGGGGAUGACGUCAAAUCAUCAUGCCCCUUAUGACCUGGGCUACACACGUGCUACAAUGGAUGGUACAACGAGUUGCGAACUCGCGAGAGUAAGCUAAUCUCUUAAAGCCAUUCUCAGUUCGGAUUGUAGGCUGCAACUCGCCUACAUGAAGUCGGAAUCGCUAGUAAUCGCGGAUCAGCAUGCCGCGGUGAAUACGUUCCCGGGCCUUGUACACACCGCCCGUCACACCAUGAGAGUUUGUAACACCCAAAGUCGGUGGGGUAACCUUUUAGA
This 1419-nucleotide ribosomal RNA is filed under the name Lactiplantibacillus plantarum. Its description in RNAcentral is "bacterial SSU rRNA". It matches the Rfam family "Bacterial small subunit ribosomal RNA". The record is from RNAcentral. Lineage: Bacteria; Bacillati; Bacillota; Bacilli; Lactobacillales; Lactobacillaceae.